RNAcentral lists this transfer RNA (58 nucleotides) under Felis catus (domestic cat). It matches the Rfam family "tRNA", at positions 8 to 63 of the family's 71-position model. From Rfam's summary of the family: Transfer RNA (tRNA) molecules are approximately 80 nucleotides in length. Their secondary structure includes four short double-helical elements and three loops (D, anti-codon, and T loops). The record is from Rfam by way of RNAcentral. Lineage: Eukaryota; Metazoa; Chordata; Mammalia; Carnivora; Felidae. RNAcentral also lists the same sequence under 1 other name.
UGGCUCAGUUGGUAGAGCAUGGGACUCUUGAUCUCAGGGUUGUGAGUUCGAGCCCCAC